This 351-nucleotide long non-coding RNA is filed under the name Homo sapiens (human). Its description in RNAcentral is "HSALNT0348438". The record is from RNAcentral. Lineage: Eukaryota; Metazoa; Chordata; Mammalia; Primates; Hominidae.
GGAAGAGAAAAAGACCGGUCUCUGUUUGGAAAUUACAAACAUAGAAGAACUUAGAAACAAUGGGUUUCUAGAUUGGGUGGAAGGACUGGCUUGGGAUCCUGAGAGAGCAAGAAAAGUUUACCGGGAGCUUCAGAAAAAGUUAUUCAUCAUUUUUGGAGUGGAUAUUCAGAAGUGACUUCCCUCUUUUGCUCUGGGGCAACCAGCCCAGUUCAAUUUGCCUGGGGGCUUUUGACUCUACAAUCUCUUCCAACAUUAAACAAGUGAAUCCUGCGCACCCUGGUGAGUUCGCAAACCCUGACAGAUGUUUCUUUCCAAAAACAUGCAGGCCCAACAUCCCUUGAAAACCUUAAA